Non-coding RNA from Nicotiana tabacum (common tobacco), 2424 nucleotides. The record is from RefSeq and is a predicted model, not a curated record. Lineage: Eukaryota; Viridiplantae; Streptophyta; Magnoliopsida; Solanales; Solanaceae.
AAACUGACAUAUUAAAGUAAAAUAAUAUAAUUAAUAUUGUUCAAUUUACAAUAGCCGACAUAGAGGUUCCGCCUUUGCAUCCCGGACCUGCCACGCUAGAGCUAUUGUUGUUACAGGGCGAGCAUAAGUCGUCCUACAUAUGGGAGGGACAGUUACUGGCCCAGACGUUCCGCGCCAGGAGAGUAGACGAUAUGUGAAACUUUCUUAGGGCCCACCCUCUCCAUCUCCGUAUAGUCAGACGCCUCCAGGAUAUAGGUUUUUAUAGGAUUGUGGAGAUCGGCCAGUUGCAGCUGAAUUGGUCGUUGAUCACGGCCCUGAUAAAGCAGUGGCGACCGGAGAUGCACACAUUCCAUUUGUCCAUUGGCGAGGCCACUAUCACGCUUCAGGACGUGGAGGUCUUGUAUGGGCUGCCCGUUGAUGGACACCUUGUUGCUUUGUCGAAUGCUAUCAGAGAGUAUACGGGAUUGCAGUACCUAGAGAUGCUACUGCGGCUCACCGGUUUCCAGCCACCGGAUGAGACUGCAUUGAUUGGGGCUAGUCCUCCGCAGUUGACGCCCGUCCGGCAUCAUUUGGAGGCGAUGCACGCUGACAUCACAAAUGAUACACCGGAGCUUCAUAUUCACCAGUAUACGAGGUUACUGAUGUUGCUUAUGUUUGGAGGGGUUUUGUUCCCAAACACUUUAGGGAACCUAGUUAACUUGAGAUUUCUUCAUCAUCUUAAGCAGCUAGAUGAUAUACAUCAUUACAGCUGAGGUGCUGCUGUUCUCGGUUACUUGUACAUGCAGAUGUGCGGGGCUAGCAUGGGCACCCAGCGAGACGUUGCAGAAUUUUUGCCGCUACUGCAGGUUUGGGCCUGGGAGCGGUUCCUGCAGUUGCACCCACCUCUACCUCUCUUAGCUCCGGAUGCACCACCUCUGUUUCUCCUUUUAGCUAGGAGGUGGGCUGAUAAGCAAGGAUAUGGACGGGAGUACGAGGCUCGACAUAAUAUCCCCUAUUGCAUGGAUUUCUUGGAUUUGAUGGAGGGCGCAUAGUUCAUUUGGAGGCCAUACAACGACGAGCUAAUAGCUAGUUUGCCCGAUUAUUGCUCGACCGACCGAAUCAUGUGGAGCUAUUCCGUCCUGUUGAUGUAUCUCGAUAUUGUCGAGCAUCAUGCUACCGACAGCUUGUACCACCAACACAUCAUGUGGAGCGAGUACUUCGCAAUUUUGGUACCCACAGCUUGUACCACCACCGCCCGCUUGGCAUAUGACACAUUACCAGCGGGAUGAUCGUUCCAGGGUUGACCAGACAUAUGUGGCAUGACUAGAGGCGCCAAUCGAUAUUUGGGACCAGCGGCAUGACCUGAUUCCGCCACCCCCUCCACCUGACCGUACGGAUGCUGAGCAUGAGUAUAUGGGUCGGUACCGCAUGGUUACACGACUUUUUGUCGGGAAUCCCGUUUAUCGCACUAGCGGUAGGCUAUUGGCCUACAUCUAUUCCACCAGUUGGGACUGCAGAUGCAACAGCGUACCGGCGAGGGAGCAGCCAUUUUGCAUGAGUAUGGCAGGCAGGUUACCGAUCUGGCUUCCUAGACAUUGAGGCGAUCCCGAGAUGAUGAGCGUAUAGGAUACGAGGCUGAGUAUGUGGUGCCAGAGCAGUACCAUCGUAGGCCACCAGUGGAGCUGGAACGUGGUCGACGUGGCGGGCAUGCCCAGAGAGGUAGGGAUGUCCCACGAGGUAGGGGUGUCCCACGAGGUAGGGGUGUCCUACGAGGUCGUGGGGGUCAGCGAGGAGGUGGUCCCCAUCAAGGGGCCGUUGAGGCACCUGUUGAGGAUGUUGGAGUUGAUCAGCCGGGUGACCACCAUAAGCCAGACCAUGCUUUUAGAGAUAUGCCGUCAUUCAGCCUUCAGCUUACUCCGGGGACUUCGUAGGUGACCUCGAUAGCUCUAUUAUUGAUCGCGGGCAUAACCAUUACGCGACAGGAGUGGGAUCAGUAUUUUCCUGACCCAUCGACUGUUGUUGAUGAUCGUCCGACACGAGUUGUGGAUAGUGGGCGCCGGCAGAGUUAUGGCUCAUCAUCGAGGGAUGUUGAGGAUCUUUCACAUGCGCAGGCUUCAUCCUCGCCCGUCACGGAGGCCAUCUUGUGCGAUACUGACAAGGCUGCGACGGAUGAUCAUAUUCAUGAGCAUGACGAGACCAUGCUUACUGCUGGACCGACGACCCCUUCUACUGAGCCUGCUAGCCCUACUGACGAUCAUGCUGCAGCGCAUCCUAUGAUAAAGAGGCGACAUGAUGAGGAUGAUCCUGAUAGUGUAGCCGGGCGGGAUGGAAUGCGCCUCAGGCCAACGGCUUCUUUAAAGCAUAUAGGAUAUGGGACACAUUGAUCUUUUUUGUUUUAUGUACAUAUGACAUUCAGUAAAUAAUAGCAACAAUUUUUAUUGUUUA